CAGUAGCCGCGGGAAUACGUAGGGUGCGAGCGUUAAUCGGAAUUACUGGGCGUAAAGCGUGCGCAGGCGGCUUUGCAAGACAGAUGUGAAAUCCCCGGGCUCAACCUGGGAACUGCAUUUGUGACUGCAAGGCUAGAGUACGGUAGAGGGGGAUGGAAUUCCGCGUGUAGCAGUGAAAUGCGUAGAUAUGCGGAGGAACACCAAUGGCGAAGGCAAUCCCCUGGACCUGUACUGACGCUCAUGCACGAAAGCGUGGGGAGCAAACAGGAUUAGAUACCCCAGUAGUCCCUGUCUCUUAUAA
Molecule: ribosomal RNA, 301 nt
Filed under: uncultured bacterium
Lineage: Bacteria
Description: partial 16S ribosomal RNA
Rfam family: Bacterial small subunit ribosomal RNA
Source: RNAcentral